AAAAAUACAAGAAAAAUAAAAGAGAGGAAAUGAAACUAAGUUAAAUGGACAAAACCGUACCAAUGGGUGACUGUACCGGAAAGUUGCGGCGUGGACCGUUGACUAGCCUUGCACCGCGGGGAACCCUAGAAAAUAUUUUUGGGACUUAAAUAAACAUCUAUUGAAAAAUAAAUGGUAUUAGAAAUGUCAAAGAAAAAUUAAAUAAUUAGU
Molecule: unclassified non-coding RNA, 210 nt
Filed under: Hevea brasiliensis (rubber tree)
Lineage: Eukaryota; Viridiplantae; Streptophyta; Magnoliopsida; Malpighiales; Euphorbiaceae
Source: RNAcentral